CCCCGAAUCAAGCACGAACUGGCAGGCGCUGGGAAACUGGGCAGGAAGCAAAGAGAACCACUGUGCUGUGCGAGGCGCCCAAGCAGCUCUCGAGAGCCUGGCACGUAGUAGGCCAGAAGUCCAAAAUGAGUUGCACUAAAUCAAAAUCAUGGUGUUGGCAGGAUCACAUUCCCUCUGAAGUUCCAGGAACAAGUGUUUGGAGGGAACUGACCUAGGACCCCAUACUCUGACCACCCUCCAACCUCCUCUCCAGCCACAAGUCCAAGACCAUCUUCUUGGUCAUUCCCUGCCUCUGGAACCAACCAACCCUGAUGUUAGCCCUUUAUUGCCCACCAAUCAGGAGCUCCAAACUUCAUCAAGAUUAUUCCACUGAGAUGGAGGCCAUUGUCAAUGGCCUGGUCAACCUGCAUCUGCUGGCCUCUUAUACCCACUUCUUUCUGGGCUUCUAUUCUGACCACAGAGAUGUGGUUCUAGAAGGUAGAAGAUCCUUCUUCCGAGUGUUGACCAGAAGAAGCACCAGCGUACCUCAUGCCUCUAGAAGAGGGAAAAUCAGCACAAUGACUACACCCUCUUCAGGACCUGCAAAAGCUGUCUCAGGAUGAAAAGUGUAAAACCCUGGACACCAUGGAAGACUCUAUGGCCCUGGAGAAGAACUUGAACUAGGCUUGUGGGGAUUUGCACACUGUGGGCUUGGUCCACCCAACCCCCACCCCAUCUCUGUGACUUCCUGGAGAACCACUUCCUGGAUGAACAAGGGAAACUCACAUGUUGGAAGAAGUUGGACCACCACCUGACUAAUUUCUGCAGGCUGUCCAGCCCUAGUCUGGACUGGGAGAGUAUCUCUUGAAAAGUCUUACCUUCCAGAAAGACCAGGAGUCACCGGAGCCCAGCAGCCUUUGAGGAGUCUCUCUGCUCCCCACCUGAUGUCAGAGCUUCAGCCUGAUCCUAUAUCUAUAGGCAGGGGCAGCUCUUUAACCACCCUGGAAUCUUCUCUCAAGCCUUAGACCAAAUGGAAACAUUAAUGUUUUGCAGCAACAAACAAACAAAAGCCCUAUCUCUCUUUGUAGACAAUUGUUUAGUUGGAACACCCGAAAGGAUUGAAA
This is a long non-coding RNA of Odocoileus virginianus texanus, 1103 nucleotides long. RefSeq lists it as uncharacterized. Lineage: Eukaryota; Metazoa; Chordata; Mammalia; Artiodactyla; Cervidae. The record is from RefSeq and is a predicted model, not a curated record.